This 274-nucleotide ribosomal RNA is filed under the name uncultured bacterium. RNAcentral's name for it is "partial 16S ribosomal RNA". It matches the Rfam family "Bacterial small subunit ribosomal RNA", at positions 523 to 796 of the family's 1533-position model. The record is from RNAcentral.
AUACGGAGGGUGCAAGCGUUAUCCGGAUUUAUAGGGUUUAAAGGGUGCGCAGGCGGACCUGUCAGUCAGUGGUGAAAUCCCGGGGCUCAACCCCGGAACUGCCAUUGAUACUACAGGUCUUGAAUACGGUUGAAGUAGGCGGAAUGUAGCAUGUAGCGGUGAAAUGCAUAGAUAUGCUACAGAACACCGAUCGCGAAGGCAGCUUACUAAGCCGAUAUUGACGCUCAGGCACGAAAGCGUGGGUAGCGAACAGGAUUAGAAACCCUAGUAGUCC